AACCUUAUGGACCUGCGGGCGUAUACCUGCGGAAGGAUCAUUACCGAGUGCGGGCCCUCUGGGUCCAACCUCCCACCCGUGUUUAUUGUACCUUGUUGCUUCGGCGGGCCCGCCAGUCUGGCCGCUAAGGGGCACCUGCCCCUACGCCCGCGCCCGCCGAAGACAUCUCGAACUCUGUCUGAAGAUUGAAGUCUGAGUGGAAUUACAAAUUAGUUAAAACUUUCAACAAUGGAUCUCAGA
This 240-nucleotide unclassified non-coding RNA is filed under the name soil metagenome. RNAcentral's name for it is "partial contains 5.8S ribosomal RNA, internal transcribed spacer 2, and large subunit ribosomal RNA". The record is from RNAcentral.